RNAcentral lists this long non-coding RNA (518 nucleotides) under Amborella trichopoda. RNAcentral describes it as "long non-coding RNA (ATRI_LNC002386)". The record is from RNAcentral. Lineage: Eukaryota; Viridiplantae; Streptophyta; Magnoliopsida; Amborellales; Amborellaceae.
GGUUGGGAGAGAGACAAAUCAAUUGUCCACUUGACUACUUUCUUAAACUAAUAGACUAGUGGAAACGGCAUGACCCCAAGCACAAAAAUGCCCCAACGGAAGCACACCAAGUGGAAAAAAGCAUGCCAAGCAACUACAACUAGUAGUCAAGCAGCCAAAAGCAUGUCAAACGACCACACACACACACACUAAAGUCAACAAAUCCUAUCCUCUCUCUGUGAUGGUCCAAGUCAAUCCUCGGAUAGUGGGAACAAUAUUACCCCAGGCAAUAAAGAAGAGCUCAUGUCCCCUUGGGAUAAAUAUUUAAGGAAAAGACCAACCUGAUGACAGAACAUGUUGUGAAUGAUGAGGUGAUACAAAAGAUAGACACGUGUGUUGACAAAGGGACUGACUAGAUGAACCUCAUCUCUAGUAAGCCAAGAAUAUAGUUGAAGGGGGAUGGUGAAUGGAGAGCCUGCUUGGCCCACUCAACUCACUUAAGCAGCCCCUCUUACCAGUGGAGUCGACGUUCCGAGGGC